UACGUAGGGGGCAAGCGUUGUUCGGAAUCACUGGGCGUAAAGGGAGCGUAGGCGGAUCGGUAAGUUAGGAGUGAAAUCUACAGGCUUAACCUGUACGAUUGCUUUUAAUACUGCCUUUCUUGAGUAUUGGAGAGGAUGAUGGAAUUCCAGGUGUAGCGGUGGAAUGCGUAGAUAUCUGGAAGAACACCAGUUGCGAAGGCGGUCAUCUGGCCAAAUACUGACGCUGAGGCUCGAAAGCUAGGGGAGCAAACAGG
This 254-nucleotide ribosomal RNA is filed under the name uncultured bacterium. RNAcentral describes it as "partial 16S ribosomal RNA". It matches the Rfam family "Bacterial small subunit ribosomal RNA", at positions 524 to 776 of the family's 1533-position model. The record is from RNAcentral.